This 433-nucleotide ribosomal RNA is filed under the name uncultured bacterium. RNAcentral describes it as "partial 16S ribosomal RNA". It matches the Rfam family "Bacterial small subunit ribosomal RNA", at positions 29 to 507 of the family's 1533-position model. The record is from RNAcentral.
AACGAACGCUGGCGGCAUGCCUAACACAUGCAAGUCGAACGAGACCUUCGGGUCUAGUGGCGCACGGGUGCGUAACGCGUGGGAACCUGCCCUUAGGUUCGGAAUAACUCCCCGAAAGGGGUGCUAAUACCGGAUAAUGUCUUCGGACCAAAGAUUUAUCGCCUUUGGAUGGGCCCGCGUUGGAUUAGCUAGUUGGUAGGGUAAAAGCCUACCAAGGCGACGAUCCAUAGCUGGUCUGAGAGGAUGAUCAGCCACACUGGGACUGAGACACGGCCCAGACUCCUACGGGAGGCAGCAGUGGGGAAUAUUGGAAAAUGGGCGAAAGCCUGAUCCAGCAAUGCCGGGUGAGUGAUGAAGGCCUUAGGGUUGUAAAGCUCUUUUACCCGGGAUGAUAAUGACAGUACCGGGGGAAUAAGCUCCGGCUAACUCCGUG